Molecule: transfer-messenger RNA, 362 nt
Filed under: Candidatus Cloacimonadota bacterium
Lineage: Bacteria; Pseudomonadati; Candidatus Cloacimonadota
Rfam family: transfer-messenger RNA
About the family: Bacterial tmRNA, also known as 10Sa RNA or SsrA, is named for its dual tRNA and mRNA-like properties.
Source: RNAcentral
GGGGCCGACCUGGUUUCGACGUGUCUGGUGAAGUCGGCGCUGCGUGCCGAGGUGGCCGUCACCUCGUUAAUCCGCGGCAACAAUUCACAACUGCCAACGAUAACCUGGCACUGGCUGCGUAACUAAACCUUACGCACCUGUCUCCGGAUCGACCCGGCCCGAGGUGGGCCCGGAGGCAACGACAAAUCGGGCUGGUCCGUGUGUGCCGCGCCGUCGCGCACGGAUGAGAAUCAACGGGGCUGGUCCGGAAGAGGCCGUCCGCGAGCCGACGACCGGAUGAGACGAUGAAGAGCGGAACACGCACGUAGACGCGCUGAAGGAUCCAUUCGCGGACGCGGGUUCGAUUCCCGCCGGCUCCAUGU